Molecule: ribosomal RNA, 403 nt
Filed under: Bacteroidota bacterium
Lineage: Bacteria; Pseudomonadati; Bacteroidota
Description: Bacteroidetes bacterium partial 16S ribosomal RNA
Rfam family: Bacterial small subunit ribosomal RNA
Source: RNAcentral
UGGGGAAUUUUGCACAAUGGGGGAAACCCUGAUGCAGCGACGCCGCGUGAUUUAGAAGGCCUUCGGGUUGUAAAAAUCUUUUCUAUGGGAAGAAAAUGACAGUACCAUAGGAAUAAGGACCGGCUAACUACGUGCCAGCAGCCGCGGUAAUACGUAGGUGGCAAGCGUUGUCCGGAUUUAUUGGGCGUAAAGCGAGCGCAGGCGGUCAAUUAAGUCUGAUGUGAAAGCCCCCGGCUCAACCGGGGAGGGUCAUUGGAAACUGGUUGACUUGAGUGCAGAAGAGGAGAGUGGAAUUCCAUGUGUGGCGGUGAAAUGCGUAGAUAUAUGGAGGAACACCGGUGGCGAAGGCGACUCUCUGGUCUGUAACUGACGCUGAGGCUCGAAAGCGUGAGUAGCAAACAGG